GGACAAUCGAGGCCAAAUUUGUUUAAAUGAGUUUUAACUGCAUUUUGAUUAAAUUAAAAUACUUUCAGAUAAACACAGUGAUGACUGUAAUAUGAUUAAUGAGUCAUACAAAAAUAAACUGAUCUAAUUUAUUCAUAGUAGCCCCAGUUAGACCUGUAGGAUUUGAUUCAUUAUUUUUCAGAUAAAUACUGUGCUUGGAUUCAGUGUUCCAGAUUAACUGCUGCCAAUUUCUGAUGUCAUUUCCCUAGGAGUUUUCAUAGUGCCCUCAGCAAUCCAUUCUGCAACUGUUCAGUCCAGCCCUGAAGUUGGGAAGACCCUCACUGUGACACGGACAAAUUGCAGAAAUAGCAAUGGGCUUCCCUGGCUGAUCGCAUUAUUUGCCAUUCUAACGUCUCGUGCAAUAACUGGCCUUGCUUUGGAAAUACUGAUACAUCUGGCCUUUCCAUAGCAGGUGCUUCUGUGCAGACUCCAGUGCCAAGAUCCAUGGUGUCCAAGUGCUGAUGGAAACUUGAAUGGGAAUUUCCACGCUUCUGGGUGUGGUGCUGAAAAGGCACACAAUGAUUUCCCUCAUCCAAGGGAGUACCACUGCUUUGGAGCGGGAUUUCUCCACAUCUGAGAGCUCCAGUCCCUUUUGAUGACUUUUUUCAGGCCUUGAGGCAUGCAGACAUGAGAGGUCACUGACAAAGCCAACAAAAAGUAACAUCCAGACCCUCUUCUGCCUGCAGCUGGUAGAGGCUGAAAUGGUUACAACUCCCUCGCUGCAAGUUACCAUUGCUCCCAUGGUCACUGCCUAAUACCUCCCAGUCUAGUAAGUUGGUUAACCUGAGCAGCUGCUUUCUACUAUCAUGACAAACAGGGUGAAGCUGCUUCAGUGUUGUCUUGCACAAUAACUGAGAAUGACUGUGGAA
Long non-coding RNA from Harpia harpyja (harpy eagle), 908 nucleotides. RefSeq lists it as uncharacterized. The record is from RefSeq and is a predicted model, not a curated record. NCBI's taxonomy places the organism in Eukaryota, Metazoa, Chordata, Aves, Accipitriformes, Accipitridae. The transcript is spliced from 3 exons.